RNAcentral lists this ribosomal RNA (244 nucleotides) under uncultured bacterium. RNAcentral's name for it is "partial 16S ribosomal RNA". It matches the Rfam family "Bacterial small subunit ribosomal RNA", at positions 103 to 334 of the family's 1533-position model. The record is from RNAcentral.
CGGGUGAGUAACGCGUGGGCGACCUGCCUUCGAGUGGGGGAUAACCUUCCGAAAGGAGGGCUAAUACCGCAUGACAUACCGCGCUUGGAUGCGUGGAUAUCAAAGCCGGGGAUCGCAAGACCUGGCGCUUGAAGAGGGGCCUACGUCCGAUUAGCUAGUUGGUGGGGUAACGGCUCACCAAGGCUACGAUCGGUAUCCGGCCUGAGAGGGCGGACGGACACACUGGGACUGAGACACGGCCCAG